AAGGGAAACCGAGUCUUAACUGGGCGUUAAGUUGCAGGGUAUAGACCCGAAACCCGGUGAUCUAGCCAUGGGCAGGUUGAAGGUUGGGUAACACUAACUGGAGGACCGAACCGACUAAUGUUGAAAAAUUAGCGGAUGACUUGUGGCUGGGGGUGAAAGGCCAAUCAAACCGGGAGAUAGCUGGUUCUCCCCGAAAGCUAUUUAGGUAGCGCCUCGUGAAUUCAUCUCCGGGGGUAGAGCACUGUUUCGGCAAGGGGGUCAUCCCGACUUACCAACCCGAUGCAAACUGCGAAUACCGGAGAAUGUUAUCACGGGAGACACACGGCGGGUGCUAACGUCCGUCGUGAAGAGGGAAACAACCCAGACCGCCAGCUAAGGUCCCAAAGUCAUGGUUAAGUGGGAAACGAUGUGGGAAGGCCCAGACAGCCAGGAUGUUGGCUUAGAAGCAGCCAUCAUUUAAAGAAAGCGUAAUAGCUCACUGGUCGAGUCGGCCUGCGCGGAAGAUGUAACGGGGCUAAACCAUGCACCGAAGCUGCGGCAGCGACGCUGAUGCGUUGUUGGGUAGGGGAGCGUUCUGUAAGCCUGUGAAGGUGUGCUGUGAGGCAUGCUGGAGGUAUCAGAAGUGCGAAUGCUGACAUAAGUAACGAUAAAGCGGGUGAAAAGCCCGCUCGCCGGAAGACCAAGGGUUCCUGUCCAACGUUAAUCGGGGCAGGGUGAGUCGACCCCUAAGGCGAGGCCGAAAGGCGUAGUCGAUGGGAAACAGGUUAAUAUUCCUGUACUUGGUGUUACUGCGAAGGGGGGACGGAGAAGGCUAUGUUGGCCGGGCGACGGUUGUCCCGGUUUAAGCGUGUAGGCUGGUUUUCCAGGCAAAUCCGGAAAACUAAGGCUGAGGCGUGAUGACGAGGCACUACGGUGCUGAAGCAACAAAUGCCCUGCUUCCAGGAAAAGCCUCUAAGCAUCAGGUAACAUCAAAUCGUACCCCAAACCGACACAGGUGGUCAGGUAGAGAAUACCAAGGCGCUUGAGAGAACUCGGGUGAAGGAACUAGGCAAAAUGGUGCCGUAACUUCGGGAGAAGGCACGCUGAUAUGUAGGUGAAGUCCCUCGCGGAUGGAGCUGAAAUCAGUCGAAGAUACCAGCUGGCUGCAACUGUUUAUUAAAAACACAGCACUGUGCAAACACGAAAGUGGACGUAUACGGUGUGACGCCUGCCCGGUGCCGGAAGGUUAAUUGAUGGGGUCAGCGCAAGCGAAGCUCUUGAUCGAAGCCCCGGUAAACGGCGGCCGUAACUAUAACGGUCCUAAGGUAGCGAAAUUCCUUGUCGGGUAAGUUCCGACCUGCACGAAUGGCGUAAUGAUGGCCAGGCUGUCUCCACCCGAGACUCAGUGAAAUUGAACUCGCUGUGAAGAUGCAGUGUACCCGCGGCAAGACGGAAAGACCCCGUGAACCUUUACUAUAGCUUGACACUGAACAUUGAGCCUUGAUGUGUAGGAUAGGUGGGAGGCUUUGAAGUGUGGACGCCAGUCUGCAUGGAGCCGACCUUGAAAUACCACCCUUUAAUGUUUGAUGUUCUAACGUUGACCCGUAAUCCGGGUUGCGGACAGUGUCUGGUGGGUAGUUUGACUGGGGCGGUCUCCUCCUAAAGAGUAACGGAGGAGCACGAAGGUUGGCUAAUCCUGGUCGGACAUCAGGAGGUUAGUGCAAUGGCAUAAGCCAGCUUGACUGCGAGCGUGACGGCGCGAGCAGGUGCGAAAGCAGGUCAUAGUGAUCCGGUGGUUCUGAAUGGAAGGGCCAUCGCUCAACGGAUAAAAGGUACUCCGGGGAUAACAGGCUGAUACCGCCCAAGAGUUCAUAUCGACGGCGGUGUUUGGCACCUCGAUGUCGGCUCAUCACAUCCUGGGGCUGAAGUAGGUCCCAAGGGUAUGGCUGUUCGCCAUUUAAAGUGGUACGCGAGCUGGGUUUAGAACGUCGUGAGACAGUUCGGUCCCUAUCUGCCGUGGGCGCUGGAGAACUGAGGGGGGCUGCUCCUAGUACGAGAGGACCGGAGUGGACGCAUCACUGGUGUUCGGGUUGUCAUGCCAAUGGCACUGCCCGGUAGCUAAAUGCGGAAGAGAUAAGUGCUGAAAGCAUCUAAGCACGAAACUUGCCCCGAGAUGAGUUCUCCCUGACUCCUUGAGAGUCCUGAAGGAACGUUGAAG
This 2197-nucleotide ribosomal RNA is filed under the name Escherichia coli. RNAcentral describes it as "partial 23S ribosomal RNA". It matches the Rfam family "Bacterial large subunit ribosomal RNA", at positions 669 to 2843 of the family's 2925-position model. Lineage: Bacteria; Pseudomonadati; Pseudomonadota; Gammaproteobacteria; Enterobacterales; Enterobacteriaceae. The record is from RNAcentral.